Molecule: RNA transcript, 3462 nt
Organism: Ooceraea biroi (clonal raider ant)
Lineage: Eukaryota; Metazoa; Arthropoda; Insecta; Hymenoptera; Formicidae
Source: RefSeq, a predicted model, not a curated record
AGAUUUUUAAAUAGUAUUCUAGGGUUAGAUACGAACGGUUCUUACUUUCAUCGCAUUUCUAUUUCUCUUUGAAGUAAACAAUUUUUUUGAUGUUUUUAACGAUACGACUCAAAUACGCAAACCUAAGGUGAAGGAUUUUGUGUAUAUCGUAUCAAUCCAAAUAGCUAGUAUUAUUGAGUCCUUCAGAUAGACAAGACACAGUGUCGUGUGAAUCCGAAGUUGGUAAGAUAUCAGUAAGAAUUUGCGUUAAACUAGACAGAUAACUUUUCAAUGUGCUAGUUGCUGUAUCGAGAUUUUCAGUGUGCAGUAUUCAUAUAGUGAGCACAAUGAAAAAUAUUUGCUUCAAGAUUUUUAUUACCUCAAUAUUAUCAGUCUCUGUAAUGGUACCAGUAUACAAAAUUAUAGCAUCAUUCACACAUCCCUCAAGACUCCCUCAAGAACAAUAUAUCUUUCAUAGAAAUAAUAGACACAACAAGAAUAAGACUGAUAAUGAAACGUUAGAAGAUGAUGUUACUAGAGAAAAAGUUAAGCCAUAUUUCACCGAAGCUGCAAUAAUAAUAGGAGGAGGAACACUUAUACUAACAGUAUUCAUGAUGGCCAUAAUUUGGAUUUAUGAACGUUGGAACACACCGCCACCGCAAGUUAUAGAACAAUAUGAAUUACGUCAAGCCCAACAUUUCCAGCAGGAGCACAGGAGACAACAACCCCAGCGCAGGCAGAAUCGUGUAAAUUGGGCAAGAACUCUGGGUAAACAAGUUUUCGUAACAUCGGUAACAAUACGAGUCAAACACAUAAGGCAAAAGCUAAGGAUUUUGUAUGUACCAUACAGUUUCAUAUGUACCAGACAGUUAGUGUUAUUGUGUCCUUCAUAGGAAUAAGAGUUGAGUAGAUUCGAAUUUGAUUUAUUAUAUGUGAUCGCAACAUUACCAAUCAUCGAUAAAAUAAAAGUGAAAUAUAACCGCUUUUUGGCUCUAAACUUUUUAAAAAGCAAAAUUUAAUAAUAUUUUCUGGAGUUUUAUCCAACAUUGACAUACACCAUGACAAGGGCAAUGUUAAUCUGCAUUUUUGUAAUUUUAGUCAUCGUUACAGAAGUAACGUACACACGUUUAAUAAUAUUCAAUGAAACUGAAGAAAUUGAUAUAAAUUUCAAUAAUACUCAAUAUAAUCAGUCAGAUUAUGAAAUGCCGAUAAAUAAAUUUGAUAUCACAAAACUUUACGCUACACCCACGAAAGGAUAUAUGAUAAUGCGACUUAUGUUCUACACUGCGCUGGGCAUUAUAUUGUAAGUCGAUGUGUCUACAAUAGACAACAAAUAUAAUAUAUAAUAAUAAUAAUGAUAAUAAUAAAUACAUAUAUGUAUGUCUCGUGUACAUGUUUAUAUGCAGGGUAAGUUCGGGAUAGAUGGCCAUAACUUUUUUUUCUCUGUCAAAAAGAUACUUUGUUUUUCUAUAAAAAAUUUGCGAAAAAUAGGCUAGUAUUUUAAUGUUUUCCAUCAUGAUAGCUGUUUUUAGAACAAUACGCGCACGCACACACACACGAUCUUCAUAAAAAUUCGUUUAAAAAUAUAAAUACUUUGGCCAUCUAUCCCUUAUAUCAAGGAGAGAUGAUCAUAGAAUAUAAAAUUAGUUGUGCACCUUUAUAAAAUUAACUGUAUUAAUUAAAUGUAAACAAAAGAAAUUAUUGUAGAUUAAAAUUAGGCCUACGCGCACUUCUUAUAUUUUUAGAAAAAAAGAUUUUGACAAAACUUGUUAAUAGCAUCUUUCAGAUCCUUUUUUUUCGCUUUCCAUAGUUAUUACCUGCUCUAAAUAUGUACUUGUUCGAUAUCUAAAAACAAAGAGAGUAAUUUGAUAGAAAAAUAUAAUAAUAAUAAUUCCACUGGUAACGAACUAUUCCAAGAACAUGGUACUUCAUAAAACAUAGCAAGCACGAAUGGAAACUGUACAACGUUAGCUACAGUGGAGAGCUCUAAAUAAACAUGAUAUCUUGAUUUCUGUCAGUUGAAGCCAGAUAUUUCUGAUAUUUAUGCGGGAAUAGUAACACACACACACACACACAAAUUUUCAGCAGGUAGUAAAGCUUAAAAUGGAGAUAUUUUCACAUUUAUGCUUUUCUGCAUAACAUUAAAUCUCCCAUUGCAAACACAACUAAAACUCAUCACACAUUAAGUGAUAACACAACUGUGUGCCAGUAGAGAAAUUAGAGCGAUUGCUCAUCUCUCUCGCGUGACUAUCUACCUUGGAAUUACCUUAUAUAUACAUGUAUUGGAAAAAUCAUUAGAUAUCUAUAAAUAUACGGCGAAUAUCUUUAAAAUAUACGAUUAGCUGUAUAUUUCUAACUACUUCGUGCUCUGAAAGAAUCACAAAAUUACGUAAAGUGUGAAACACCAGCAUUAGUGCAUUCAAUUGUGUUUGAUAAUUUUUCGGUAUAUAUAUGGUUUUAGCAAUUCGAUUCUUUUCUUACAACUAAAAUUUAUAUCUAUUGUUGGUUCACACGUGAAUAAUAUUAUAUACCCAUACAUAUCCUUUUUAUAUUGUGCUUAUAUGUAAAUAUGACUUUAUAUUUUUUUAAGCAUCGUUUUCUGCGUACAAGCAUGUCAACUCCUGGAAGGAAUGCCCAGACCUCCAAUACGUAGAUUAUAUCACAGAUAUAUAAUGCGAUUGUACAUAUUUAUUGUAGAUGUGUUGCAAUAUCGACCAGUCAGAGCAAUAGAAGAUAUAGAAUUAGAAUAGAAUAGAAAAAAGAUAAAAAAAUAUAAUAGAAUAGAUAUUUGAGGAACCAGUAAACUGACGUCUACAUACAUACACAGAUAAUAAUAAGAAUGAUUAAAACAAGACUGCUGGUGGUAUGUAAUUUUAAUAAAAGUUUUAAGAAAUCUGCAAAUUAUACGCACAUUUUAAAUGUUAUAUCGUAAAACUGUAUUACAAAGCUAUUGUUUGGAUAUGAAGGCAAUGAAUAAUGAAGAUAUAUAAUUAGUUAAUGAUUUAAUAUAUAUGCGAAAAUGAUUUCACAUUUUAAAGGUGAUUUAUUAUUUUGCGUGGACUUCAUGAAAGGGACCAUGAAAAUCCAGAGCAAUUUAAUGAAGAGAUCGAAAAUGAGCAUCAAGAUCUAUAAACCAGCUUGAAUUUUUACACAUAUGACUAGAAUUGAGAUAUAUUGAGAAGAUGACUCAGAUGACAAAAUAGAGUAUGUAAUUCCAACAAAAGACGUAAAAGAAUGUACUAAUUGUAUAUAUGUAUAUAUAUACAAAUACAAAAAAGUUGUUAAAAGUUGUUAAAAUUUAUUAAAACUUCGCUUAGAUGCGGUACAUCGGAAUAUAAUGCGGGAAAGUACCCUUGAAUAUUAACUUAAAAAUACUUUAAUAUUGAUAUAAAUAAAUGUAACAUAUUCUACAAUAAUCAUGUUUUUAUGUAAUAAAAACAGAAGUACAAAAUAAAAUCGCUUUGUUACAGUAUCAGUCAUAAA